RNAcentral lists this long non-coding RNA (4992 nucleotides) under Homo sapiens (human). RNAcentral's name for it is "HSALNT0403640". Lineage: Eukaryota; Metazoa; Chordata; Mammalia; Primates; Hominidae. The record is from RNAcentral.
AGUAUGUCUUUAUCAGCAGUGUGAAAACAGACUAAUACACUGCAUGUUCUCACUUAGAAGUAGAAGCUAAAUGAUGAGAACUCACAGACACAAAGACAGACACAAUGGAUACUCAGCCCUACUUGAGAGUGGAGGAUGGGAGGAAGCAGAGGAGCAGAAAAAAAUAAAUAUUGGGUACUAGGCUUAGCAUCUGGGUGAUGAAAUGAUCUGUACAACAAACCUCCAUGACACAAGUUUACCUAUAUAACAAACCUGCACAUGUACCCCAAAACCUGAAAGUUAAAAGUCACUAAGCCAGUUAAAUGAGAUUAUUGUUAACAACCUAAUAUACAAAUUGUGCUCUCUCUACUAAUCUCUGUAGAUAGUUUGAGCCCAGUCCUUAAUUCUCUUUGGCAAGAAUUGCAAAUUACCUUUAGCUACGGAUUUCAUUGUUCAAUUGGUUUUAAUUACAGCGUUUUCCAUUACUCAUCAUUUUCCUUAUUUCAAAUUAAGCCUCUCUUUUACUUCUUCCCUUAAGAGGAAAUGAGUGUUUGUCUUUUCUCAAACCUUCCUUUACAUAUUUGUAUCACAUGCCUUUUGUUUGCCUUUCUGGAAUAAACCCACUGUUCUCUCAUGUCCACAGAUGCCUCAUCAUCCCAGCAUAAAUUAUUCCAAUGUUUCAUGUAUUUACUUUUUUAAAUUUUAAAAAAUAGCCUGCCUUUCUUCUUCUGAGAUGCAAUAAUAUAAAGAAACAUGGACAGCCUAUUUCUUGUGCUUCAAAGAACAUAUUCCUAAUAAUUUGGGCCACUAUUUUGUUCCAUUCUAGUGUUUUUAUUGUGUGUGGAAAAAUCCUUCAGGUUAAUUCCUCAGUUUUACUCAGAACUAGAAUGCCUGGCAGUGUGAGGUCAGUGUUAUCACCAAUUCUCAACCAGCAUCAGGAAGGACCACACUUAACCCAGCUGUGACUGAUAAAUAACUCCUGGCUUAGCAGAAACUGUGAGCUUGUGUGCGAUGGUUAAGCAAUGUAAUAAAGGAACCAGCUCUAGUGGAGAGACUCUGAGCUCCAGAAGACUCACUGAGAAUGUCACCUUUGCUAGGAGAACAAACCCUAGAUAGCUUUCUGGAAGAUGAGAGACCACAUGGAACAGAGACCAAUGAUCUCGGCUGAAGACAACUUCAACCAGUUCCCGGCUGACCCACCAACUGACCACAGAUGCAAGAGUGAGCUUAACCAAGAUCAGCUGAGGUUGGCCCAGAUCAGCAGAACCACCAACCCAGUCCUAAGUUCACAAACAAAAAUAAAUUUUCAUUGUUACAUACCACUGUGAAGGAAAUGGCUGUGCUUUACUCAGUAGUAGUCUGAGGUGGCUGCCUGGUGCAGCAUGACUUAGCAGGGUUUGGAAUGCAGGCGCACAACUCUGCUUGUUAUAUAACCAUGCCACGUGAGGUGCAUUAGGUGAUCACUCAUCUGAGCUCGUACUUGGCUCACAGCCACUAUUGUCUGUAAAGGUGUAAUUACUCUACUUAAGGCUGUACAUACAGCUUGCGGUUUGCACCUGCGGCUGACACCCAGGCUCACUCACGCCCAGAGAGAGAGUAAAAGCCAUGUCAAAACUGUGUACAAUUCUUCGAGUAUUUUUCCAGCUACCUGCCAUUGGUCUAUCCACUCCCCUCAGUCCUCAGUUUGGGCUGGAACCUGACACUUGGCAUGAAAACUGGCAUCACGAACAGGAUCCCAAGGUGGGUGAGCCUUUGGUCCCCGCUGAUUCUUGGUUGGCUCUGUGGCCACAACAUGGGUUGUGGUACCAGACUGCAGCUGUGCUGUGAGGAUGGGCUCUGGUGGAGACUGGGCGGUGGUAGGUGGGUCCCUUGUGAGCAUGGAGAAGGCCCUGAAGUUGCUGGAAGCACAGAGCACUGAGAAGGAAGGAGCCUUUGCUGGCAGAAUUGGAUGGGCAUUUUUGACUGCGCUUGGAGUACACACCCAGUCCCUGAGGGAUGCCACAGACGUAAGGGCUUUGCAGACAUAGGCGAGGCACCUGGAGGCCUGGCUACACAGUUCAGAAAAAGAAUUAGAAGCUGCCAUGAAUGGGGACCUCCAGGCACCCCCUGGAAGCCUGGCUACAGAGCUUGAAAAAGGAAUUAGAGGCUGCUGUGAAUGCAGGCCUGGAGGCCAUUGGUGGGACCGAGGGGUCUGUGCAGUAAAGAAGGGGAAGAUGCCCAUGGGAAAAUAGGGGACCCCAACCAGUAACACACUCAAAGAUGUGGAUAGAUUUGAUUUUGGCCAGGGUUGAGAAACAGAAAAUUGAUAAGCAGCCCAAUGAAGUACUCUUAACUUUGUGGAGACAGUUGCCUCUGGAACAGCAAUUCCAGAAAAUGCCCAAGAGGAAGAAGGGGAGAAGGACAUUGCUGCGUGAUCUGGUCCCACCUGGGGUGUUCCAGCUCAAAGACUAUGUACUGAAGCAAGGCAGGGAUGUAAAGCCUUUUCUGUUUAUGAGGGAACUGGCCGAGGUGCCCAGCUUGAGGGGACACUGGGCAACCAGAAGCCACAUGUGAAAUUGACAAGCCACUGGUCCCUGCACCCAGAUAAGUUUCCAGGCAAGGCUGCAUAGACAGCUAUGAAAUGUCUAUGGUCAAUGAAAGUGAAAUCUGUAUCUCUGCACCUUGGCAUCAGCCACCUGGCCCCUGGUUAUGCACUGUGUAUGUCUCUCCCAUACCUGUAUACAUUCUGGGGGUGGACACUUUACACAGCUUGACAGCUGUCUCAUCUAUCACAUAUUUGAUGGACUACUUGACAACAGAAUUGGGACAGUACCACUAUGGGGUGGACUUGACUAAUGCAUUUUUUUUUACAGAGUCAGGAACAAUUUGCCUUCAUGGGAAGGUGACAAUGGACUUUCACAGUGUUACUGCAGGGCUAUGUGCAUAGCCCCACCAUAUGUCAUGGUCUUGUUAAUGAUAUUAUCCAUGGUCUUUUUAAUGCUAUCAAGCUAACCUCUAAUUCUCUUGCAGAUUUAGAAUCGGCAGUGCUCCUCUUGCCUGAGAUUGCAAUGGUGCAGCUGAGACCACCUUCCUGGCAGCCAAGUGGGCUAUUCAGCAGGAAUAAGCCCUGUGGAUAGUUGAGCAGGGGCUCCCAUUCGAGCUGGAUGUGCAUGUGACCACAGAUGGUUUCAGCUGGGGCCUGUGGCAGCACACGGAGUGCUUGAGAACACCAGUAGGCUUUUGAUCCCAACUAUGAAAGGGAGCUGAGCUCUGGUAUUCCUUGAUAGAGCAGCAGUUAGUAACUGCAUGUGCUGCCCUUCAGGUUCAUGAGAGCUUGGCAGGAUUGGUUACAAUCUUCAUGCAGACAACUUACCCAAUAGCAGGAUGAGUGCAUUCAUGGAUAAUGACCCCCUGGACUGGGAUGGGGGAGACAUCCACUUUGGCAAAGUGGAGUGCCUACUUGGAGCAGCAGAGUACACUGAGCACAAGUCCCUUAGAAGUCUUGGGAGCUGCAGUCCUAUGCAAGAUAAGGCCAUGGGGCCUGAGGCACCCCUAGAAUUUGAGCCUUUACCAUUUAAAGAAGGACAUCCCUCCAUUCCCAAUGGGGCAUGGUACACAAAUGGGUUUAGCUGAGGUGGUACUGCUGCCUGGACCACUGUUGCAAUCCAACCUAGUACUGACACCAUAUGGUUUGAAACCGGGUGUGGGCAAAGUAGCCAAUGGGCUGAACUUAAAGCAGUAUGGAUGGUGAUCACCAAGGAGGUGACACCUAUAGAAAUGUGCACUAAUAGCUGGGAAGUUUAUCGAGGCUUAACCUUGUGGUUAACUACCUGGAAGUUACAAAAUUAGCUAUUUGUUCACCGGCCCACGUAGGCCAAGCCAUGUGGCAAGAUCUAUAGGAGGAAGAAUGACCUUCUCUGACCAGGUAUAGGGAUGAACAGUAACCUAUUGUUGCCUGUCCUGAUGCCCCUGAAGUCAGAAGAACAGAAAAAUUGGCUGUGGCCAUGGACCCUCCAACCCCCCAACUGCCUGUGGUUGGCCAUCAUAGCUCCCUGGGAGAAGUGCCUACAGUAUGAAUUGCCUGUCACUCCUUGGCUGUUCAGUGCAUGCCCCCCAUGGUUGACUGUUCAUAGGGAAACAGCCAGGGGAUGAACCCUCCUCUGGGGGGCAUAUGUAAUAUCUGUGUUGCCUAUUAUGAGCUCCCCUGUGACUGUGGCACAGACACAGGACCCAAAGCAACCAUGGGGAGGUGGAAGGUGUGGUAUUAUCAGCCAGAGCAGAAGCCCUUGGUAGGUGCAUUGUUAUCCAGGGAUGGAAAGUUAGCCUGUUAUUGUUGUUGUGGGUUAAGGAUUCAGGGAUCUGCCCUUUGGGCACAUGUCCCUGCACAGAGGAUGCUUUCAGCCUAUGGGGUGGAGUGUAAGGGAAAUGGCUGCAUGUUAUUUUGCAGUAGGUUGAGGAAGCCUCCCAGCGCAGCAUGAAUCAGUAGGUUUGGAGUGUAAGUGCACAACUUCACACAUUAUGUAACCAACACUGUGUGAGGCACAUUAGGUGAUCACUCACAUGAGCUUGUGCUUGUCUCAAAGCCACUAUUGUCUGUAAAAGGUAUAAUUACCCUGCUAAUGCUUUACAUAUGGCUUGCAGCUCAUGCCCAGGCCCAUGCCCAGGCUUGUGCCCAGGCUUGUGGCUUGCACCCAUGGCUCAUGCCCAGGCUCGCUUGUGCUGAGAUAGAGUAAGAACCGUGUCAAAACCGUCUGUGAUUCCUCAAGUGUUUUUCCAGCUCCCUGCCACUUGUCCACCCACUGCCCUCGGUCCCCAGCUUGGGCUGGAACCCGACACUUAGGAUGACAAGCAUUAUGGUCUUGUGGAUGUUAAUUAGACAGCAUUAUUAUAGCAUAAAAAAAAGGCACAAGCCCAUUUCUAAUAAUUAUUGUAUUUUCCUAACCAGUACAUAUGAUUUUUUUUAGAUUAUCUUGUUUUCUGUUCAUGAUCGCUUGACAUUCUAUCUCUUAUUUUAUUAAAAGUUGUGACAUUCUU